ACCACUAUCGCUAUUGAGAUUUUGGGAAUUGGGACCAGAGUGAAGGCUAGAAACAUUACCAUCUUCAGAUUCAAUUAAUGCUUCUUUCUCAACUAUCUGACAAUCUUUUCCAGCUUCACCAUCACAAGCAGUAUCUUCUCUAAGUAACUCCCCUUGAGGUUCCUUAUCAACAGCUCCUUUAGAAUCAUGGGACUUUCUUCGCCGUCUAUUGUUGUGACGCUCUAAUUUUCUUCUACAACUCCGUUUGCCUUCGUCAAAAUCUGACAGCAAGUGAAACUUCCCACACUGCUGACAGUAUCUCUUGUUCUCCCCAUCAAGUACAACAGCACUAGCAUUAGCGCAGCGUAAACAAACCCUGUGCCUCUUAUGAUAUCCUUUAAGCUCGCCAAUAUCUGCCUCGCACUCAGGCACUUGACACCUAGCAACACCCACGCUGGACCGGGUCGUUCUGACCCGCUUCUUCCCAGGUACAGCCUCCUCUUCUAACUUCUCGUCAAGCUCUGGGCACGCGCAGGGGACCCUUCCCGCAAGAAAAUUGGAGCAGGUCAACCUCGGGUCUCCUGACGCGAUCCGGAACUGGAGCUGUCUCAAUUUGAUUGACUUCAAUAGUAGUUGAAGUACCGACGGAAUCGAACGAUAUUGGGAAUUGAUCGUCCACCGUGAAGUCCAACAGAUCUCCCCAGUCCCAGAGAGCUGAAGACGAAGGGUCUUCCGACACAGGCGGGUGAAUUUCCAUAUCGUGAAACUUAGGCCGAAGAGCUCCGGGUGAAGGUGGAGGAGAAGGUCCCAUAACGGCGGAGAAAAUCCCUAGAUAUUUUAGGAUAGGUAAGGUGGCGUUUAGGAGAAGUAACAGAUAGAAAUUGGCCCGGUUGUUAAGCGAUGGGUAAAGUUCAGUUUGGCUUGGAGGGCUAGGGAGUCGUCGUCGGAGGAAAACAAAAUGAGGUUAUUGUGGCGACAUGGAAUCUUACUCGAUUAUUGUCCUUAGAAUAGCAAUUCCACGCGCUUUCUUGAGACGGGCCGCUGCCAAAUAUAGCUAUAAUCAAAC
Molecule: unclassified non-coding RNA, 1045 nt
Filed under: Hevea brasiliensis (rubber tree)
Lineage: Eukaryota; Viridiplantae; Streptophyta; Magnoliopsida; Malpighiales; Euphorbiaceae
Source: RNAcentral